This is a ribosomal RNA of Pelodiscus sinensis (Chinese soft-shelled turtle), 119 nucleotides long. The record is from Ensembl. NCBI's taxonomy places the organism in Eukaryota, Metazoa, Chordata, Testudines, Trionychidae.
GCCCAUGACUGUACCACCCUGAACAUGCCGGAUCUUGUGUGAUGUUGGAAGCUAAGCAGGGUCGGGCCUGGUUAGUACUUGGAUGAAAGACUUCCUGGGAAUAUUGGGGGCUAUAGCUC